Dreissena polymorpha is the source of this 586-nucleotide long non-coding RNA. RefSeq lists it as uncharacterized. The record is from RefSeq and is a predicted model, not a curated record. Lineage: Eukaryota; Metazoa; Mollusca; Bivalvia; Myida; Dreissenidae. The transcript is spliced from 3 exons.
CCUUCGAAGAAGAGGGGGUAUAUUGCUUUGCUCAUGUCGGUCUGUCGGUCGGUCUGUUGGUCCGUCCACCAGGUGGUUGUCAGACGAUAACUCAAGAACGCUUGGGCCUAGGAUCAUGAAACUUCAUAGGUACAUUGAUCAUGACUCGCAGAUGACCCCUAUUGAUUUUGAGGUCACUAGGUCAAAGGUCAAGGUCACGGUGACCUGAAAUAGUAAAAUGGUUUUUGAAUGAUAACUCAAGAACGCAUACGCCUAGGAUCAUGAAACUUCAUGGGUAGAUUGAUCAUGACUCGCAGAUGCCCCCUAUUGAUUUUGAGGUCACUAGGUCAAAGGUCAAGGUCACGGUGACCCGAAAUAGUAAAAUGGUUUUCGGAUGAUAACUCAAGAACGCAUAUGCCUAGGAUCAUGAAACUUCACAGGUAGAUUGAUCAUGACUCACAGAUGACCCCUAUUGAUUUUGAGGUCACAAGGUCAAAGGUCAAGGUCACGGUGACACGAAAUAGUAAAAUGGUUUUUGGAUGAUAACUCAAGAACGCUUUUGCCUAGGAUCAUGACACUUCAUAGGUACAUUGAUCGUGACUCAUAG